UGGGGAAUUUUGGACAAUGGGCGCAAGCCUGAUCCAGCCAUUCCGCGUGAGUGAAGAAGGCCUUCGGGUUGUUAGGCUCUUUCGCCAGGGAAGCCAACUUAGCCACUAACAUUGGCUGAGGUUGACGGUACCUUGAUAAGAAGCUCCGGCUAACUCCGUGCCAGCAGCCGCGGUAAU
Molecule: ribosomal RNA, 177 nt
Filed under: uncultured bacterium
Lineage: Bacteria
Description: partial 16S ribosomal RNA
Rfam family: Bacterial small subunit ribosomal RNA
Source: RNAcentral